UGAGAGUUGUUGACAGGCAAAUAAGGGA
RNAcentral lists this non-coding RNA (28 nucleotides) under Homo sapiens (human). Lineage: Eukaryota; Metazoa; Chordata; Mammalia; Primates; Hominidae. The record is from RNAcentral.